GUCCUUCAUAUUGUGUUUCCCUAGGAUCAUCAUUAACUAUCAUAACUUUUCACGUUUAAGGUCUUUGAUGAGCUCUCAUGUUUUAAUGAAAGGGCUAUCAUUAAACUUUGAGAGCCUUGUAACCAUUCUUUCAUAUAAUUUCUCUUCGCGCCUCUGUCUCUUCAUUUCCUCAUUUUCUCUGCAAUUCUUCAUUUCCCUCGCUCUUUUUCCUCAUUUCUCUGUCAUCAAGCUUCAAUCUUUCUCCCAGGCCCAUCUUUUUCUGUUUUAAUUUAUCCCCUCCACUAAAGUUAUGAUCUUUAUGCCGUGGGUUUUUAUACCCCCAAAAUCAGAGUCAAUCGUUGAAACAUUUAACACAAAAUCUAAUUAAAUCUUAAUCCCC
Molecule: long non-coding RNA, 379 nt
Filed under: Vigna radiata
Lineage: Eukaryota; Viridiplantae; Streptophyta; Magnoliopsida; Fabales; Fabaceae
Description: long non-coding RNA (VRAD_LNC017966)
Source: RNAcentral